AGAGUUUGAUCCUGGCUCAGGACGAACGCUGGCGGCGUGCUUAACACAUGCAAGUCGAACGGAAAGGCCCUUCGGGGUACUCGAGUGGCGAACGGGUGAGUAACACGUGGGUGAUCUGCCCUGCACUUUGGGAUAAGCCUGGGAAACUGGGUCUAAUACCGAAUAUGACCACGCUCUUCAUGGGGUGUGGUGGAAAGCUUUUGCGGUGUGGGAUGGGCCCGCGGCCUAUCAGCUUGUUGGUGGGGUAAUGGCCUACCAAGGCGACGACGGGUAGCCGGCCUGAGAGGGUGACCGGCCACACUGGGACUGAGAUACGGCCCAGACUCCUACGGGAGGCAGCAGUGGGGAAUAUUGCACAAUGGGCGCAAGCCUGAUGCAGCGACGCCGCGUGAGGGAUGACGGCCUUCGGGUUGUAAACCUCUUUCACCAGGGACGAAGCGCAAGUGACGGUACCUGGAGAAGAAGCACCGGCCAACUACGUGCCAGCAGCCGCGGUAAUACGUAGGGUGCGAGCGUUGUCCGGAAUUACUGGGCGUAAAGAGCUCGUAGGUGGUUUGUCGCGUUGUUCGUGAAAACUCACAGCUUAACUGUGGGCGUGCGGGCGAUACGGGCAGACUAGAGUACUGCAGGGGAGACUGGAAUUCCUGGUGUAGCGGUGGAAUGCGCAGAUAUCAGGAGGAACACCGGUGGCGAAGGCGGGUCUCUGGGCAGUAACUGACGCUGAGGAGCGAAAGCGUGGGGAGCGAACAGGAUUAGAUACCCCGGUAGUCCAA
This 773-nucleotide ribosomal RNA is filed under the name uncultured bacterium. RNAcentral describes it as "bacterial SSU rRNA". It matches the Rfam family "Bacterial small subunit ribosomal RNA", at positions 8 to 798 of the family's 1533-position model. The record is from RNAcentral.